GACGAACGCUGGCGGCGUGCUUAACACAUGCAAGUCGAACGGAAAGGCCCUGCUUUUGUGGGGUGCUCGAGUGGCGAACGGGUGAGUAACACGUGAGUAACCUGCCCUUGACUUUGGGAUAACUUCAGGAAACUGGGGCUAAUACCGGAUAGGAGCUCCUGCUGCAUGGUGGGGGUUGGAAAGUUUCGGCGGUUGGGGAUGGACUCGCGGCUUAUCAGCUUGUUGGUGGGGUAGUGGCUUACCAAGGCUUUGACGGGUAGCCGGCCUGAGAGGGUGACCGGCCACAUUGGGACUGAGAUACGGCCCAGACUCCUACGGGAGGCAGCAGUGGGGAAUAUUGCACAAUGGGCGGAAGCCUGAUGCAGCAACGCCGCGUGCGGGAUAACGGCCUUCAGGUUGUAAACCGUUUUCGCCUGUGACUAAGCGUGAGUGACGGUAAUGCGUAAAGAAACACCGGCUUACUAUCUGCCAGCAGCCACCCGUGUACGCUAGGUGCGCAGCCUUGUCCGGAUUUAUUGGGCGUAAAGGGCUCGUAGGGGGUUGAUCGCGUCGGAAGUGUAAUCUUGGGGCUUAACCCUGAGCGUGCUUUCGAUACGGGUUGACUUGAGGAAGGUAGGGGAGAAUGGAAUUCCUGGUGGAGCGGUGGAAUGCGCAGAUAUCAGGAGGAACACCAGUGGCGAAGGCGGUUCCCUGGGCCUUUCCUGACGCUGAGGAGCGAAAGCGUGGGGAGCGAACAGGCUUAGAUACCCUGGUAGUCCACGCUGUAAACGGUGGGUACUAGGUGUGGGGUCCAUUCCACGGGUUCCGUGCCGUAGCUAACGCUUUAAGUACCCCGCCUGGGGAGUACGGCCGCAAGGCUAAAACUCAAAGGAAUUGACGGGGCCCCGCACAAGCGGCGGAGCAUGCGGAUUAAUUCGAUGCAACGCGUAGAACCUUACCUGGGUUUGACAUGGAUCGGGAGUGCUCAGAGAUGGGUGUGCCUCUUUUGGGGUCGGUUCACAGGUGGUGCAUGGCUGUCGUCAGCUCGUGUCGUGAGAUGUUGGGUUAAGUCCCGCAACGAGCGCAACCCUUGUUCACUGUUGCCAGCACGUUAUGGUGGGGACUCAGUGGAGACCGCCGGGGUCAACUCGGAGGAAGGUGGGGAUGACGUCAAGUCAUCAUGCCCCUUAUGUCCAGGGCUUCACGCAUGCUACAAUGGCUGGUACAGAGAGUGGCGAGCCUGUGAGGGUGAGCGAAUCUCGGAAAGCCGGUCUCAGUUCGGAUUGGGGUCUGCAACUCGACCUCAUGAAGUCGGAGUCGCUAGUAAUCGCAGAUCAGCAACGCUGCGGUGAAUACGUUCCCGGGGCU
RNAcentral lists this ribosomal RNA (1347 nucleotides) under uncultured bacterium. RNAcentral's name for it is "bacterial SSU rRNA". It matches the Rfam family "Bacterial small subunit ribosomal RNA", at positions 28 to 1381 of the family's 1533-position model. The record is from RNAcentral.